AUAUCUAUACUACUAAGAGAGAAUGAGGGGCAGAAAAAUGACAAGCCAUUUAAACCGAU
Molecule: small RNA, 59 nt
Filed under: Arabidopsis thaliana (thale cress)
Lineage: Eukaryota; Viridiplantae; Streptophyta; Magnoliopsida; Brassicales; Brassicaceae
Description: ATSL275460
Source: RNAcentral